CAAAGGUUAAUUCCGGUGGCGGAUGGGCAUGCGUCGCAUUAGUUAGUUGGCGGUGUAACGGACCACCAAGACGACGAUGCGUAGGGGUUCUGAGAGGAAGGUCCCCCACACUGGUACUGAGACACGGACCAGACUCCUACGGGAGGCAGCAGUGAGGAAUAUUGGUCAAUGGGCGGGAGCCUGAACCAGCCAAGUCGCGUGAGGGAUGACGGCCCUAUGGGUUGUAAACCUCUUUUGCCGGGGAGCAAAGUGCCGCACGUGUGCGGUUUGGAGAGUACCCGGAGAAAAAGCAUCGGCUAACUCCGUGCCAGCAGCCGCGGUAAUACGGAGGAUGCGAGCGUUAUCCGGAUUUAUUGGGUUUAAAGGGUGCGUAGGCGGACGCUUAAGUCAGCGGUAAAAUUGCGGGGCUCAACCUCGUCGAGCCGUUGAAACUGGGUGCCUUGAGUGGGCGAGAAGUACGCGGAAUGCGUGGUGUAGCGGUGAAAUGCAUAGAUAUCACGCAGAACUCCGAUUGCGGAGGCAGCGUACCGGCGCCCAACUGACGCUGAAGCACGAAGGCGUGGGUAUCGAACAGGAUUAGAUACCCUGGUAGUCCACGCAGUAAACGAUGAAUGCUAGUUGUCCGGGGCGAUUGAGUUCUGG
RNAcentral lists this ribosomal RNA (642 nucleotides) under uncultured bacterium. RNAcentral describes it as "bacterial SSU rRNA". It matches the Rfam family "Bacterial small subunit ribosomal RNA", at positions 202 to 842 of the family's 1533-position model. The record is from RNAcentral.